GGAGGGGGCAAGCGUUGUUCGGAAUUACUGGGCGUAAAGGGCGUGUAGGCGGUUUGCUGGGUCAGGCGUGAAAGCCCCGGGCUCAACCUGGGAUGUGCGUUUGAAACUGGCAGGCUAGAGGUUGGAAGAGGAGAGUGGAAUUCCCAGUGUAGAGGUGAAAUUCGUAGAUAUUGGGAAGAACACCGGUGGCGAAGGCGGCUCUCUGGUCCACACCUGACGCUGAGGCGCGAAAGCGUGGGGAGCAAACAGGAUUAGAUACCCUGGUAGUCCACGCUGUAAACGAUGUGUGCUAGACGUUGGAUGUUCAGCAUUCGGUGUCGUCGCUAACGCAUUAAGCACACCGCCUGGGGAGUACGGCCGCAAGGUUA
This 368-nucleotide ribosomal RNA is filed under the name uncultured organism. RNAcentral's name for it is "partial 16S ribosomal RNA". It matches the Rfam family "Bacterial small subunit ribosomal RNA", at positions 527 to 896 of the family's 1533-position model. The record is from RNAcentral.